CAGCUCAGCGGGUGAGCACCCGCUUCACAAGCGAUAGGUCGGUGGUUCGAACCCACCAAGG
RNAcentral lists this transfer RNA (61 nucleotides) under Phytophthora infestans (potato late blight agent). RNAcentral describes it as "tRNA-Val". Lineage: Eukaryota; Oomycota; Peronosporomycetes; Peronosporales; Peronosporaceae. The record is from RNAcentral.